RNAcentral lists this ribosomal RNA (253 nucleotides) under uncultured bacterium. RNAcentral's name for it is "partial 16S ribosomal RNA". It matches the Rfam family "Bacterial small subunit ribosomal RNA", at positions 524 to 776 of the family's 1533-position model. The record is from RNAcentral.
UACAGGGGGGGCAAGCGUUGUUCGGAAUUACUGGGCGUAAAGGGUUUGUAGGUGGCCACUUAAGUCAGACGUGAAAUCCCUCAGCUUAACUGGGGAACUGCGUCUGAUACUGAGUGGCUUGAGUGCAGGAGAGGAACGCGGAAUUCCAGGUGUAGCGGUGAAAUGCGUAGAUAUCUGGAGGAACACCGGUGGCGAAGGCGGCAUCCUGGACCGGUAUUGACGCUGAGGCGCGAAAGCCAGGGGAGCAAACGGG